Cercocebus atys (sooty mangabey) is the source of this 74-nucleotide small nuclear RNA. Lineage: Eukaryota; Metazoa; Chordata; Mammalia; Primates; Cercopithecidae. The record is from Ensembl.
GUAUCCACUUCAGCAGUACAUACAGUAAAAUGAGAAUGAUGCCAAGAAUAUUAGCAUGGCCCCUGUGCAAGGAU